GGCAAGCUCGUGGUAGCUUUGUUCUUUCUCUCUUUGCAAUAAAUCUUGCUCCUGCUCACUCUUUGGGUGCACACUGCCUUUAUGAGCUGUAACACCGCGAAGGUCUGCAGCUUCACUCCUGAAGCCAGCCGGACCCGAACCCACCGGGAGAAACGAACAACUCCAGACGCGCCACCUCAAGAGCUGUAACACUCACUGUGAAGGUCUGCAGUUUCACUCCUGAGCCAGCAAGACCACGAACCCACCAGAAGGAAGAAACUCCGAACACAUCUGAACAUCAGAAGGAACAAACUCCGGACACGCUGCCUUUAAGAACUGUAACACUCACGGCGAGGGUCCGCGACUUUAUUCUUGAAGUCAGUGAGACCAAGAACCCAC
RNAcentral lists this long non-coding RNA (378 nucleotides) under Homo sapiens (human). Its description in RNAcentral is "HSALNT0361112". Lineage: Eukaryota; Metazoa; Chordata; Mammalia; Primates; Hominidae. The record is from RNAcentral.